This 232-nucleotide ribosomal RNA is filed under the name uncultured bacterium. Its description in RNAcentral is "partial 16S ribosomal RNA". It matches the Rfam family "Bacterial small subunit ribosomal RNA", at positions 15 to 237 of the family's 1533-position model. The record is from RNAcentral.
GAUCAUGGACUCAGGAUGAACGCUAGCUACAGGCUUAACACAUGCAAGUCGAGGGGCAGCAUGGUCUUAGCUUGCUAAGGCCGAUGGCGACCGGCGCACGGGUGAGUAACGCGUAUCCAACCUGCCUUACACUCUUGGACAGCCUUCUGAAAGGGAGAUUAAUACAAGAUGUUAUCAUGAGUAAGCAUUUUCACAUGAUUAAAGGUUUACCGGUGUAAGAUGGGGAUGCGUU